AUUGAACGCUGGCGGCAGGCUUAACACAUGCAAGUCGAGCGGGGGAAGGUAGCUUGCUACUGGACCUAGCGGCGGACGGGUGAGUAAUGCUUAGGAAUCUGCCUAUUAGUGGGGGACAACAUCUCGAAAGGGAUGCUAAUACCGCAUACGUCAUACGGGAGAAAGCAGGGGAUCUUCGGACCUUGCGCUAAUAGAUGAGCCUAAGUCGGAUUAGCUAGUUGGUGGGGUAAAGGCCUACCAAGGCGACGACCUGUAGCGGGUCUGAGAGGAUGAUCCGCCACACUGGGACUGAGACACGGCCCAGACUCCUACGGGAGGCAGCAGUGGGGAAUAUUGGACAAUGGGGGGAACCCUGAUCCAGCCAUGCCGCGUGUGUGAAGAAGGCCUUAUGGUUGUAAAGCACUUUAAGCGAGGAGGAGGCUACUCUAGUUAAUACCUAGGGAUAGUGGACGUUACUCGCAGAAUAAGCACCGGCUAACUCUGUGCCAGCCGCCGCAGUAA
This 501-nucleotide ribosomal RNA is filed under the name uncultured bacterium. RNAcentral's name for it is "partial 16S ribosomal RNA". It matches the Rfam family "Bacterial small subunit ribosomal RNA", at positions 30 to 523 of the family's 1533-position model. The record is from RNAcentral.